AAGCGGGAGAGAGAAUCCCAAGCAGGCUCCGCACUGUCAGCGCAGAGCCCGAUGUAGGGCUCAAUCUCAUGAACUCUGAGUUCAUGACUUGAGCUGAAACAAUAGUCAGAUGCUUAACCGACUGAGCCACCCAGGCGCCCCUGAAUUAAUAUUUCUAAAGUAUGAGAAGAUGCCUAGAGAGAAUCAGUACCCAAUAAACAGACAAAUGUAGUUCCUGGGAAAAACACGGAUAGAUGCCACACUGAAAAAUACCAAUAUGAAUGAAUGGCUCUCUCCCACCUCAUGCAGGAGAAUGGAGCUCCUGGGAGCUCAGACCAGUCAAAAACAGCCCCAGGGAGGGCUUUCCGGCCUGAGAGCAGAAGUGACCUCCUCAGAAGUAAAUAAUAAAAAUAACAAUGAAUACUAUCGUGUACUGAGCACCUCCUCUAGGCUGGACCCUGUGGUCAGGGUCCUACGUUACCUCGUUCAGUCUUCCAGCAACUUUGUGAGAAAGAGGUUGUUUCAUUGUCCAGAUCACACAGCGGAGACUUGGAGAGACUGGUUAACUUGCCCAACAGCACAUGGUCAGCAGGGGUAGCACCAGGAGUCCAAAGCCUGUGCUCUUAGCCAGUAGACCCUCUGUCUCCGUCUGCCUAUCUGUCAGCCCAGCUUCUGAUCUUAAUUUCGUUUCUCAAGUGGGGAUCAACCUCACUGGGGAUGCUGAAGUUCAUAUUAUCCAUUAAUAAUUUGGCUUAGGGGAAGAACGCUGGAUUAGAAGUCAGGAGACCCAACUUCUGGUCUAGCUCUGUCACCUACUAUAUCAGCCAGGACAAGCUAGUUACCUGUGCUGGGCCACAGCAUGGGAACUGAUCGUGCCUGCCCUGCCUAUCCCAGGAACUAAGAUGAGGCACCAAGGAGAUGAUUCACAUUCAAAUUCAUUAAACAACGACUGCUUACUACGGGCUCCGUCCUAAGCAAACUGCAUUUACCUAUAUUUUUCAUUAUUGUAAAUCAGCUUAGGAAACACUUAAAAGGCAAGAUAGCAUUGUUCCUGUGAAUUAGGACUUCGUGAACCACUUUUUUUUUAAGGUGCCCGAUUGUCCCCCAAACAGGCGAAACGUCAAGGCUCCAGAGCCGGGGGGACCAAGCUGUCUAUUUCAGAGAGCCAGCCACACUCUCCAGACCUUCCCUGCUUUCAUGAAACAAUAAGCGUGUUUAGAACUGCUUCAGAACCAGGAUGCCAGCGAAGGUGGGAAGCCUAGCUGAAGACCUGCCCUGAGGACCUCCGUGAGGGUGAGGGCCUCCUGUGGCCGUAGGCGCCUCCUUCCCUGCGACCGUCUGACCGUCCGUCCGUCAGCUCGCCGUGGUGGGAUGCUGGGUCGGUUCUGUGCUUUCGCUAAGAAGGGGGUGUCAAGAUGGAGACGAAGGACUUAAGAGCUAAAGCAAUAAUAAACAAACAUAAACCCGGGGUCUGUUCUGAUCGGGCAGUGUCCACGGUGAGACUCUCACCCCUGGAUAGAGUUUGCCCGCGUUUGGUUUCGCGGAGGACCUACUCAGUUCUGUGCUCCGGCAGGUGCCAACUCUUCCCAUCUGCCUCCUGGGAGCAUAGUGGUGGCACAGUAAAUAACAUGUGGUCGAAGGGCUGGCGCACCGCAGCUGACAUCCGGGAGGACCUGAGGGAAUGUUUCCGUCUGACUGGCUGACCUCUGAGAACAGGGGCCGGAUCCUCUUUGAGUUUUCACCAACAACAGUCCUGUGCUGAUGUUCAGAAGGUGCUCAAUAUGCGUUCGGUGAAUGGAUGAACCCAUCAGAAAGCGUCCACUGAGUGCCAGCUGAGGGGAGGUGCUGGGUUAUUUAUGGUAGGGAGCGAAGGAAAAAGACUAAAUCACACCUCUCAGAGAAUGUUCAGCUUAUGGCAGGUGAUCCCACCCCUACGUGACAAAUAAAAAGGACCCACGGAUACCAGCGUUUUAUUUGUGCGAACGAGGAGAUGCGAUUUUUAAAAGGUAAGGGGUAUCGCUAAGUAAAAUAAAAGAACCAAGGGACACGGAGGGCGAAUAGAGAUUUUUAUUGGACGUAAAGGCCCCAGGAGAAGCAAAUUCCUUUGGAAAUGGCCCAACGAGAGGCAUUUCCCAUUCCUUCCUUUUUCAAAGGCUGGUUUUGUUGGGUUUUUAACUGAGAGCCUCAGGAUGGAGGGAGAAGCUAUCUUCUCAGCACAGAGUUUUCUCCCCCUUUUCCAGAGGGAAGGCAGAUUUGGGAAACUGGCACUGCCCCUGCCCAGAUGGCAGCCAGCAGCUGGCUCUGGCAAAGGGAAGUUCUCACUCUGGGCUGCUGGCUGCCGGGCCCCUCCCGUUUCCCCAGCAAUGCCGGGCCGGGGCCAUUGGAGAGGAGAGAAUGUGAGAGGCCGGCCAUGCCAGCAGCUCCUCGCCACCCUGACCUGCCGGUUCUGGCUCUGACACCCAGGCCCGUGGCCGGGGAGCGGAGGGAGCAGGCCCAGCAGCACUAGCCAGCAGCCUCAGCCUCCCUCCUCCUGCCUUGGCGGUGGUUGGCCCUGCGCUGAACCACACAAUGGCUCCUGACGACUUCGGGGCUGCAGCGUCAGGGACAAAGGGUGGUUGGUGGUGAUUUCAGAGAGAGUGGCCUGGCCACGCAACCGUGGGCCGAUGUGGGUUACAGGGCUCCAGAAGAUCCUGCUGGCCCACGGCUGCCCCUUCCCACACCAAACACUGCCCUGUCUUCUAGCAGACCCUGUGGGUCCCGGUUUCUUCCACCCCAGGCGUAGUUUUCUUUUUUCCUCCCUCCCUCCCUUCCUCCCUCCCUCCAUCCCCCUUUUCCUUUCUUCUUUCUUUCCUUUCUCCUUCCUUCCUUCCUUCCUUUCUUCCUUCCUUCCUUCCUUCCUUCCCUUUCUCUCUUCUCACAAUGCCUUUCUCGCACUUUCUUGCUUUCCCCCGCCCCCUCCUCCUUUCUUUUAUUCUUCAAACAUCUAUUGACUGCACAUUCUGUAUCACUCUGCUAGGUUCUGAGAGUGCACAGAUAUAAUAAUACUUGGCCCUGCCCCCGAGGAGCUCACAAUUCAGUGAGGACAUCUGUGCCUGAGAUGGGAUGAGUCCAUGACAAUUAAUGACAAUAGAGCGUGUUAAGUACUAUAAAAGCACACAAAUUGCUAGGAAAGCAGAGGAAAGAGCCAUUAAUUUCUACCUGACCCAUUUUGGGGAAAAGUUAGCUGAGGUUCUGCCAUUUUUCAAUUUAGUUGCUCACUCCGAGUCUUAUGCUCCUGAGGAAAGGUUUUAUGUCGCUAAGUCUCGUUGGAAAAAUGAAAGGUUUGCUUUUUGUUUCAGUUCCUGCUUAUGACUCAGGUCUCGAGGCUUUGAAUUUUUAUCAAGUCCAAUUUUAUCCAUUUUUUUUCUUUUUUGCUGUUGGAUCUAAGAACUUUUUGUCUAACCCAAAUAUUGCAAAGAUUUUCUCCUUGAUUUUCUUCUAGAAAUUUAUAAUUUUACAAUUACAUUUGCAUUUAUGAUCUAUUUUUGCUCAUCUUUGUAUAUGGCAUGUAUUGGGGGUUUUUCUUCUUUUUUUUUAGUAUAAAAAAAUAUUGUUUCCAGUAUCAAUUAUUCCAGAACCAUUUGUUUGAAAAGCCAUCCUUUCUCUAUUGAAUUGUCUUUGCACCUUGGUCAAAAGUAAGUUGACUAUAUUUGUAUGGGUCUAUUGCUGGAUUCCUUGAGAGGAGUAUUUUUAUGUCCAAUAUAUUGUUUCAUGCACUCUCUCUGUCCCUCUCAAAAUAAAGGCAUUCCUGCCAUGCAAACAGCACCCUAUAUAUCAACUAGAGUUAUGACUUGACUAGGCAAAAGAAAAGAAGCUUGGCCAACCAAGAUUAGAGUUAACUUUGCCACAGAUUGCUGUGUGACUUUGGCAUGGGGGGCUUUGUGAUCCUGAAGAAACACAGAAAUGAAGCUCUUCCCGUCACCCCCGAGAGUCGGUGGUAAACACGUCUUCGCUGUGUCUUGUCACAUACAACAGUUACCCAGGGGAUCCUUAUUCCCGGUUACAUUCUUUGGCUCUCCUUCACCAAUAGAAUGAUUCUUUUACAACUUUGGAAUGAAAAGCAUGCAAAAUGGUGUCUUCAUACUGCUUAAAUGCUUUCCACCCA
This is a long non-coding RNA of Neofelis nebulosa (Clouded leopard), 4123 nucleotides long. RefSeq lists it as uncharacterized. NCBI's taxonomy places the organism in Eukaryota, Metazoa, Chordata, Mammalia, Carnivora, Felidae. The record is from RefSeq and is a predicted model, not a curated record. The transcript is spliced from 2 exons.